GAUGAACGCUAGCGGCAGGCUUAACACAUGCAAGUCGAGGGGCAGCGAGAGAGUAGCAAUACUUUUGUCGGCGACCGGCGGACGGGUGCGUAACGCGUAUGCAACCUACCUUAUACAGGGGGGAUAACCUUUUCGAAAGGGAGACUAAUACCGCAUAACAUUACUUUGAGGCAUCUUGAGGUAAUUAAAUCUUCGGAGGUAUAAGAUGGGCAUGCGUAGCAUUAGCUAGAUGGUGCGGUAACGGCGUACCAUGGCGACGAUGCUUAGGGGUUCUGAGAGGAAGGUCCCCCACAUUGGGACUGAGACACGGCCCAGACUCCUACGGGAGCAGCAGUGAGGAAUAUUGGUCAAUGGACGCAAGUCUGAACCAGCCAUGCCGCGUGCAGGAUGACGGCUCUAUGAGUUGUAAACUGCUUUUGUAUGAGGGUAAAUGUAGGUACGUGUACCUAUUUGAAAGUAUCAUACGAAUAAGGAUCGGCU
This 480-nucleotide ribosomal RNA is filed under the name uncultured bacterium. RNAcentral describes it as "bacterial SSU rRNA". It matches the Rfam family "Bacterial small subunit ribosomal RNA", at positions 28 to 498 of the family's 1533-position model. The record is from RNAcentral.